GGAUUGUGGCUCAGAGGUAGAGUGCUUGCCUAGUAUGCUUGAGGCACUGGGUCCGAUCCUUAGCACCA
RNAcentral lists this transfer RNA (68 nucleotides) under Marmota monax (woodchuck). RNAcentral describes it as "tRNA.Thr". The record is from RNAcentral. Lineage: Eukaryota; Metazoa; Chordata; Mammalia; Rodentia; Sciuridae.